GACGGAGGUUCCAACGGAUUAAAAUUCGUCGGACGUUUGUGACGGAUUUCCGACCAAUUUCCGACGAAAACAAAAAAUUUGAAGUCGUCGGAAUUCCGUCGGCCAUUUCCGACGAAUUUCAGAGGAAAAGUGGCUCGUCGGAAUAUUCCGACGACUUUUCGACGACAUUCUGAUAAAACAUAUAACCGUUGUAGUCGUCGGAAAUUCGUCGGAAUAUACCGACGAACUUCCGACGACAUUCCGAUUGAGAGAUAUAAAUGUUACAGUCGUCGGUAUUCCGUCGGAAUUUUCUGACGAAUUUCCGACGAACCAUGUUUCCGUCGGAAAUCCCUCGCAAAAUACCGACGACAUAGCGACGACAAAGGGUUCCAUUGAAGUUUGGAAAUGUCCUCGGUAAUUCGUCAGAAUUUACCGACGAUAUUCCGACGAACUACACAAGUUCGUCGGAAUGUCGUCGGUAUAUUCCGACGAAUUACCGAGGACAUGUGUUUCUAAAAAAUUUUAAACAUAAAAAUCUAUAAAUUUAGAUGCCAAAACUAUGAAAAUAACACAUAAUAAGUGUUUAGUAUAGUAUUAGAUCACAACCGUUCAAAUAUAACAACUCAUUAAAAUAUUUAUGUAUGCAUAUCAUUGUUUUCAUAACAUCUCAUCUUAACACUCAUAUACUUAUACAAUCAUAUUCAUAUAAUCUUACACUACAAAUGUUACCGUCGUCGGUAUUCCGUCGGAAUUUUCUGACGAAUUUCCGACGAACCAUGUUUCCGUCGGAAAUCCCUCGCAAAAUACCGACGACAUAGCGACGACAAAGGGUUCCAUUGAAGUUUGGAAAUGUCCUCGGUAAUUCGUCAGAAUUUACCGACGAUAUUCCGACGAACUACACAAGUUCGUCGGAAUGUCGUCGGUAUAUUCCGACGAAUUACCGAGGACAUGUGUUUCUAAAAAAUUUUAAACAUAAAAAUCUAUAAAUUUAGAUGCCAAAACUAUGAAAAUAACACAUAAUAAGUGUUUAGUAUAGUAUUAGAUCACAACCGUUCAAAUAUAACAACUCAUUAAAAUAUUUAUGUAUGCAUAUCAUUGUUUUCAUAACAUCUCAUCUUAACACUCAUAUACUUAUACAAUCAUAUUCAUCUAAUCUUACACUACAAAAAAUGUUGUUGUGUAAAAUCGUGUUAUAAAAACAUUUUUAUUGUUAAAUCUUUAUGCAAAUACUAUAUAUAUUAUCAAAGAUUUGGAUUUUGCAUUUAGAAACUUGUAAUCAACCCCUAAACACUAAGUCGUCGGAAUUCGGUCAGAAAAAGUCGUCAGUAUUCCGUCGGAAUCUACUGACGGACACCAAUUCCGUCGGAAUUUCAAUUUACCCGGGAAAACCAAACCGCGUGAAAAUUUUCGCGAACCGCCAAUUGGUAUAUAUUUAAUUAUCCCGACGGAAUACUGACGAACCUGUGUCCGUCGGAAACAUUAAAUAUAAUUACCCUUCUUCUUCCUUCUUCGUUAUUUCCGCCUCCGCCUCUGUCUCAAUCCUCUCCGCGAUUUCUCUCCCUUUCACGGCGAUUCCGACCAUUCUCGAGCUCCUAUCACCGGCGAAUCCUCUUCUCACCCUCAUAUCUCUUCCCCAAACCCCAAAUCAUGUCUGAGGAUGUACCCCGCCCCGCAGCCCGUCUUCGACGUAGUUUGGUGAGCAGUUCCCGUGCAUCGGGAUCGUCUCAUGAACAAAACUCGGUUCCCGUAUAUAUUCCCGCUCCAGAAGAAGUUCAGCGCCGAGAUAAUGCAGAAGCUAGAUCGUUUGAUGUCUUCGAGUUCUUAGUUUUUUCUGCUUUUUAAAACUUUCUGAAUGUUUUUUUUCUAUUUCGGUUUGUAUGAAUUUUUAACUUUCUGAAUGUUUUUUUUUCUAUUUCGGUUUGUAUGAAUUUAAAUUCUAUAAUAUUAUUAGUUUUAAAUUUCAGAUUUUAUUUAUUUAUUAAUUAAUUUUUAAUAUAAAAAAUAUAUAAAAAUGCAAAAUUAAUUCGUAUUUAAAAUUGAUAUAUUCCGACGAAUUGAGGCCGUCGGAAAUCCCUCGCAAAAUACCGACGACAUAGCGACGACAAAGGGUUCCAUUGAAGUUUGGAAAUGUCCUCGGUAAUUCGUCAGAAUUUACCGACGAUAUUCCGACGAACUACACAAGUUCGUCGGAAUGUCGUCGGUAUAUUCCGACGAAUUACCGAGGACAUGUGUUUCUAAAAAAUUUUAAACAUAAAAAUCUAUAAAUUUAGAUGCCAAAACUAUGAAAAUAACACAUAAUAAGUGUUUAGUAUAGUAUUAGAUCACAACCGUUCAAAUAUAACAACUCAUUAAAAUAUUUAUGUAUGCAUAUCAUUGUUUUCAUAACAUCUCAUCUUAACACUCAUAUACUUAUACAAUCAUAUUCAUAUAAUCUUACACUACAAAUGUUACCGUCGUCGGUAUUCCGUCGGAAUUUUCUGACGAAUUUCCGACGAACCAUGUUUCCGUCGGAAAUCCCUCGCAAAAUACCGACGACAUAGCGACGACAAAGGGUUCCAUUGAAGUUUGGAAAUGUCCUCGGUAAUUCGUCAGAAUUUACCGACGAUAUUCCGACGAACUACACAAGUUCGUCGGAAUGUCGUCGGUAUAUUCCGACGAAUUACCGAGGACAUGUGUUUCUAAAAAAUUUUAAACAUAAAAAUCUAUAAAUUUAGAUGCCAAAACUAUGAAAAUAACACAUAAUAAGUGUUUAGUAUAGUAUUAGAUCACAACCGUUCAAAUAUAACAACUCAUUAAAAUAUUUAUGUAUGCAUAUCAUUGUUUUCAUAACAUCUCAUCUUAACACUCAUAUACUUAUACAAUCAUAUUCAUCUAAUCUUACACUACAAAAAAUGUUGUUGUGUAAAAUCGUGUUAUAAAAACAUUUUUAUUGUUAAAUCUUUAUGCAAAUACUAUAUAUAUUAUCAAAGAUUUGGAUUUUGCAUUUAGAAACUUGUAAUCAACCCCUAAACACUAAGUCGUCGGAAUUCGGUCAGAAAAAGUCGUCAGUAUUCCGUCGGAAUCUACUGACGGACACCAAUUCCGUCGGAAUUUCAAUUUACCCGGGAAAACCAAACCGCGUGAAAAUUUUCGCGAACCGCCAAUUGGUAUAUAUUUAAUUAUCCCGACGGAAUACUGAUGAACCUGUGUCCGUCGGAAACAUUAAAUAUAAUUACCCUUCUUCUUCCUUCUUCGUUAUUUCCGCCUCCGCCUCUGUCUCAAUCCUCUCCGCGAUUUCUCUCCCUUUCACGGCGAUUCCGACCAUUCUCGAGCUCCUAUCACCGGCGAAUCCUCUUCUCACCCUCAUAUCUCUUCCCCAAACCCCAAAUCAUGUCUGAGGAUGUACCCCGCCCCGCAGCCCGUCUUCGACGUAGUUUGGUGAGCAGUUCCCGUGCAUCGGGAUCGUCUCAUGAACAAAACUCGGUUCCCGUAUAUAUUCCCGCUCCAGAAGAAGUUCAGCGCCGAGAUAAUGCAGAAGCUAGAUCGUUUGAUGUCUUCGAGUUCUUAGUUUUUUCUGCUUUUUAAAACUUUCUGAAUGUUUUUUUUCUAUUUCGGUUUGUAUGAAUUUUUAACUUUCUGAAUGUUUUUUUUUCUAUUUCGGUUUGUAUGAAUUUAAAUUCUAUAAUAUUAUUAGUUUUAAAUUUCAGAUUUUAUUUAUUUAUUAAUUAAUUUUUAAUAUAAAAAAUAUAUAAAAAUGCAAAAUUAAUUCGUAUUUAAAAUUGAUAUAUUCCGACGAAUUGAGGCCGUCGGAAAUCCCUCGCAAAAUACCGACGACAUAGCGACGACAAAGGGUUCCAUUGAAGUUUGGAAAUGUCCUCGGUAAUUCGUCAGAAUUUACCGACGAUAUUCCGACGAACUACACAAGUUCGUCGGAAUGUCGUCGGUAUAUUCCGACGAAUUACCGAGGACAUGUGUUUCUAAAAAAUUUUAAACAUAAAAAUCUAUAAAUUUAGAUGCCAAAACUAUGAAAAUAACACAUAAUAAGUGUUUAGUAUAGUAUUAGAUCACAACCGUUCAAAUAUAACAACUCAUUAAAAUAUUUAUGUAUGCAUAUCAUUGUUUUCAUAACAUCUCAUCUUAACACUCAUAUACUUAUACAAUCAUAUUCAUAUAAUCUUACACUACAAAUGUUACCGUCGUCGGUAUUCCGUCGGAAUUUUCUGACGAAUUUCCGACGAACCAUGUUUCCGUCGGAAAUCCCUCGCAAAAUACCGACGACAUAGCGACGACAAAGGGUUCCAUUGAAGUUUGGAAAUGUCCUCGGUAAUUCGUCAGAAUUUACCGACGAUAUUCCGACGAACUACACAAGUUCGUCGGAAUGUCGUCGGUAUAUUCCGACGAAUUACCGAGGACAUGUGUUUCUAAAAAAUUUUAAACAUAAAAAUCUAUAAAUUUAGAUGCCAAAACUAUGAAAAUAACACAUAAUAAGUGUUUAGUAUAGUAUUAGAUCACAACCGUUCAAAUAUAACAACUCAUUAAAAUAUUUAUGUAUGCAUAUCAUUGUUUUCAUAACAUCUCAUCUUAACACUCAUAUACUUAUACAAUCAUAUUCAUCUAAUCUUACACUACAAAAAAUGUUGUUGUGUAAAAUCGUGUUAUAAAAACAUUUUUAUUGUUAAAUCUUUAUGCAAAUACUAUAUAUAUUAUCAAAGAUUUGGAUUUUGCAUUUAGAAACUUGUAAUCAACCCCUAAACACUAAGUCGUCGGAAUUCGGUCAGAAAAAGUCGUCAGUAUUCCGUCGGAAUCUACUGACGGACACCAAUUCCGUCGGAAUUUCAAUUUACCCGGGAAAACCAAACCGCGUGAAAAUUUUCGCGAACCGCCAAUUGGUAUAUAUUUAAUUAUCCCGACGGAAUACUGACGAACCUGUGUCCGUCGGAAACAUUAAAUAUAAUUACCCUUCUUCUUCCUUCUUCGUUAUUUCCGCCUCCGCCUCUGUCUCAAUCCUCUCCGCGAUUUCUCUCCCUUUCACGGCGAUUCCGACCAUUCUCGAGCUCCUAUCACCGGUGAAUCCUCUUCUCACCCUCAUAUCUCUUCCCCAAACCCCAAAUCAUGUCUGAGGAUGUACCCCGCCCCGCAGCCCGUCUUCGACGUAGUUUGGUGAGCAGUUCCCGUGCAUCGGGAUCGUCUCAUGAACAAAACUCGGUUCCCGUAUAUAUUCCCGCUCCAGAAGAAGUUCAGCGCCGAGAUAAUGCAGAAGCUAGAUCGUUUGAUGUCUUCGAGUUCUUAGUUUUUUCUGCUUUUUAAAACUUUCUGAAUGUUUUUUUUCUAUUUCGGUUUGUAUGAAUUUUUAACUUUCUGAAUGUUUUUUUUUCUAUUUCGGUUUGUAUGAAUUUAAAUUCUAUAAUAUUAUUAGUUUUAAAUUUCAGAUUUUA
Long non-coding RNA from Brassica rapa (field mustard), 5393 nucleotides. RefSeq lists it as uncharacterized. Lineage: Eukaryota; Viridiplantae; Streptophyta; Magnoliopsida; Brassicales; Brassicaceae. The record is from RefSeq and is a predicted model, not a curated record.